GACGAACGCUUGCGGCGUGCCUAAAAAAUGCAAGUCGAGCGAGGUCGAGGCUUCGGCCUUUAUACCUAGCGGCGAACGGUCGCGUAACACGUAACCAACCUGCCCCAGAGUGGGGGAUACCCCGCCGAAAGGCGGAUUAAUACCGCAUGUGGACAAUCCGACGCUUGUUGGGUUGUCUAAAGCAUCAAUGCGCUCUGGGAUGGGCUUGCGGCCUAUCAGCUAGUUGGUGAGGGUAACGGCCCACCAAGGCGACGACGGGUAGCUGGUCUGAGAGGAUGGUCAGCCGGACUGGGACUGAGACCCGGCCCACACUCCUACGGGGGGCAGCAAUUAAGAAUCUUGCGCAAUGGGCGAAAGCCUGACGCAGCCACGCCGCGUGACCGAUGAUUUCCUUCGGGAUGUAAAGGUCUUUUCUGAGGGAAGAAGGAUGUGACGGUACCUCAGGAAUACGCCCCGGCUAACUACGUGCCAGCAGCCGCGGUAAUACGUAGGGGGCGAGCGUUGUCCUAAUUCACUGGGCGUAAAGCGCGCGUAGGCGGGUUACUAAGUUGGGGGGUGAAAUCCCGAGGCUCA
Molecule: ribosomal RNA, 573 nt
Filed under: uncultured bacterium
Lineage: Bacteria
Description: bacterial SSU rRNA
Rfam family: Bacterial small subunit ribosomal RNA
Source: RNAcentral